CUGGUAAAAAGGUGAAAACUUUUUUUACCCCAAAACUCUGUGCAAUGGAGCACACGGCUUAUGCAUCGAUGAAGCCCGCGGCAAAAAGCGAUAUGUAAUGAGAUUCGUUAGCCUCGCGAUUCAUCAAAUUGGUGAACACAUACUGGACCUCUUCGGAGGUACUUGCGUUAGAGUGCUAGUUUUCUAUCAAUUGAUCCUGGUAAAAGGUGUUUGAAUCAUUAGGUUCUUACGCCCUAGCCGGUGUAGCCGGUUUCUCUUUGAGAAAUCGGAUUGUCCUUGGUAAACAUUUCAGUGUGUUGGGUAGGGUCUCCUUUCGUGAGUUCUAUCACAUUACUGAUUGUCCCAAGUCAAUCCAUUCUUAUUGAACUGGCCUCUAAUGUGAGGGGUACCCCUUGGAUUUAAAGCAUACU
This 410-nucleotide small RNA is filed under the name Naegleria sp. RNG196. Its description in RNAcentral is "eukaryotic LSU rRNA". The stretch from base 34 to 178 matches the Rfam family "5.8S ribosomal RNA". The record is from RNAcentral. Lineage: Eukaryota; Heterolobosea; Eutetramitea; Acrasida; Naegleriidae.